Molecule: non-coding RNA, 24 nt
Filed under: Arabidopsis thaliana (thale cress)
Lineage: Eukaryota; Viridiplantae; Streptophyta; Magnoliopsida; Brassicales; Brassicaceae
Source: RNAcentral
ACGUCAUGUGGAUUUUGGCCUGGU